AAAGGUUUUGACAAAGGGUGACAAAUGGCUGAUGGAACAGCACCUGACUAGCUGGGGUCAUCUCACCUGGCUGUGCUGAGUUGCAGCCAUAGGUGUGCUGGUGAUGUUCCACCAGC
Molecule: long non-coding RNA, 116 nt
Organism: Haliotis rubra (blacklip abalone)
Lineage: Eukaryota; Metazoa; Mollusca; Gastropoda; Lepetellida; Haliotidae
Exons: 3
Source: RefSeq, a predicted model, not a curated record